AUACGGAGGAUGCGAGCGUUAUCCGGAUUUAUUGGGUUUAAAGGGUGCGUAGGCUGUGCGUUAAGUCAGGGGUGAAAUGCCGUCGCUCAACGACGGAGCUGCCCUUGAUACUGGCGUGCUGGAGUACGGAUGCCGUUGGAGGAAUGAGUGGUGUAGCGGUGAAAUGCUUAGAUAUCACUCAGAACACCGAUUGCGAAGGCAUCUGACGAAUCCGUCACUGACGCUGAGGCACGAAAGCGUGGGGAUAGAACAGGAUUAGAUACCCUGGUAUUCCACGCCGUAAACGAUGAUGACUAACCGUCGGCGAUAGACAGCCGGUGGCCAAGCGAAAGCGAUAAGUCACCCACCUGGGGAGUACGUCGGCAACGAUGAAACUCAAAGGAAUUGACGGGG
Molecule: ribosomal RNA, 393 nt
Filed under: uncultured bacterium
Lineage: Bacteria
Description: partial 16S ribosomal RNA
Rfam family: Bacterial small subunit ribosomal RNA
Source: RNAcentral